GAUGAAGAACGUAGCGAAAUGCGAUAAGUAGUAUGAAUUGCAGAAUUCAGUGAAUCAUCGAAUCUUUGAACGCACAUUGCGCCCCCUGGUAUUCCGGGGGGCAUGCCUGUUCGAGCGUCAUUUCACCACUCAAGCCUCGCUUGGUAUUGGGCAACGCGGUCCGCCGCGUGCCUCAAAUCGACCGGCUGGGUCUUCUGUCCCCUAAGCGUUGUGGAAACUAUUCGCUAAAGGGUGUUCGGGAGGCUACGCCGUAAAACAACCCCAUUUCUAAGGUUGACCUCGGAUCAGGUAGGGAUACCCGCUGAACUUAAGCAUAUCAAUAAGCGGAGGA
This 331-nucleotide unclassified non-coding RNA is filed under the name soil metagenome. RNAcentral's name for it is "partial contains 5.8S ribosomal RNA, internal transcribed spacer 2, and large subunit ribosomal RNA". The stretch from base 1 to 120 matches the Rfam family "5.8S ribosomal RNA", at positions 35 to 154 of the family's 154-position model. The record is from RNAcentral.